Molecule: microRNA precursor, 70 nt
Filed under: Saimiri boliviensis boliviensis (Bolivian squirrel monkey)
Lineage: Eukaryota; Metazoa; Chordata; Mammalia; Primates; Cebidae
Description: miRNA (ENSSBOG00000014861.1)
Source: RNAcentral
AUAUUAGGUUGGUGCAAAAGUAAUUGUGUUUUGCUAUUUAAUGGCCAAAACCACAGUUACUUUUGCCCCA